GGGGGGAGGCUGGAUCCUGGGCUGUGUCCCGGCGCCCUGUGCUCCGGGGCCUGCGCUGUUGAAUUCGCGCUCCCGCCCCGCAGCCCCCU
This 89-nucleotide microRNA precursor is filed under the name Canis lupus dingo (dingo). Its description in RNAcentral is "mir-8799 microRNA precursor family". It matches the Rfam family "mir-8799 microRNA precursor family". The record is from Rfam by way of RNAcentral. Lineage: Eukaryota; Metazoa; Chordata; Mammalia; Carnivora; Canidae.